Molecule: non-coding RNA, 104 nt
Filed under: Fusarium poae
Lineage: Eukaryota; Fungi; Ascomycota; Sordariomycetes; Hypocreales; Nectriaceae
Description: Eukaryotic large subunit ribosomal RNA
Rfam family: Eukaryotic large subunit ribosomal RNA
Source: Rfam by way of RNAcentral
GGGUGUUAGUGUAUCUUGACAACAGGACGGUGGUCAUGGAAAUCGGAAUCCGCUAAGGACUGUGUAACAACUCACCUGCCACCACCGCAUACAAUAAUGUCGAA